CGUGUGUGUGUGUAAAUUAGGGGUGCUGAAAAGUUCCUGGCUUUAAGGGUGUCAUGAAAGGUCUAGUUGGAGGCUUGACCUUCUGAGUUUUGUUACAGGGCUUAGGAAAAUUGAAGGGUCGCUGCAACAAGUGUGUUAAUCUGAGAGGAGAAUAUGUUGAAUAAAAUCACAACUGACUGAUCCUCCUGUAUUUUCUUUCGCCCAAGACAGCA
Molecule: long non-coding RNA, 212 nt
Organism: Octopus sinensis (East Asian common octopus)
Lineage: Eukaryota; Metazoa; Mollusca; Cephalopoda; Octopoda; Octopodidae
Exons: 3
Source: RefSeq, a predicted model, not a curated record